Molecule: ribosomal RNA, 827 nt
Filed under: Palicella schizochromatica
Lineage: Eukaryota; Fungi; Ascomycota; Lecanoromycetes; Lecanorales; Lecanoraceae
Description: LSU rRNA
Rfam family: Eukaryotic large subunit ribosomal RNA
Source: RNAcentral
UGAAGCGGCAACAGCUCAAUUUGAAAUCUGGCUCCUUCGGGGUCCGAGUUGUAAUUUGUAGAGGAUGUUUCGGGUGCGGCGCCGGUCUAAGUCCCUUGGAACAGGGCGUCACAGAGGGUGAGAAUCCCGUACGUGACCGGCGACCAACCCCAUGUGAAACCCCUUCGACGAGUCGAGUUGUUUGGGAAUGCAGCUCAAAAUGGGUGGUAAAUUUCAUCUAAAGCUAAAUACCGGCCAGAGACCGAUAGCGCACAAGUAGAGUGAUCGAAAGAUGAAAAGCACUUUGGAAAGAGAGUCAAAAAGUACGUGAAAUUGUUGAAAGGGAAGCGCUUGCAACCAGACCUGUCCGCCGGCGAUCAGCCUCCGUUCUCGGUGGUGCACUCGUCGGCGAUCAGGCCAGCAUCGGUUCGGGCGGUGGGAUAAAGGCCUUGGGAAUGUGGCUUCCUUCGGGAAGUGUUAUAGCCCUCGGUGCAAUGCCGCCAGCCCGGACCGAGGACCGCGCUUCGGCUAGGAUGCUGGCGUAAUGGUUGUAAGCGACCCGUCUUGAAACACGGACCAAGGAGUCUAACAUCUAUGCGAGUGUUUGGGUGUCAAACCCAUACGCGUAAUGAAAGUGAACGGAGGUGAGAACCCUUAAGGGCGCAUCAUCGACCGAUCCAGAUGUCUUCGGAUGGAUUUGAGUACGAGCAUAGCUGUUGGGACCCGAAAGAUGGUGAACUAUGCCUGAAUAGGGUGAAGCCAGAGGAAACUCUGGUGGAGCUCGCAGCGGUUCUGACGUGCAAAUCGAUCGUCAAAUUUGGGUAUAGGGGCGAAAGACUAAUCGAACC